CUGGCUCAGAUUGAACGCUGGCGGCAUGCUUUACACAUGCAAGUCGAACGGCAGCGCGGGCUUCGGCCUGGCGGCGAGUGGCGAACGGGUGAGUAAUAUAUCGGAACGUGCCCAAGAGUGGGGGAUAACGUAGCGAAAGUUACGCUAAUACCGCAUACGAU
This 161-nucleotide ribosomal RNA is filed under the name Pseudoduganella flava. RNAcentral describes it as "Massilia flava partial 16S ribosomal RNA". It matches the Rfam family "Bacterial small subunit ribosomal RNA", at positions 19 to 179 of the family's 1533-position model. Lineage: Bacteria; Pseudomonadati; Pseudomonadota; Betaproteobacteria; Burkholderiales; Oxalobacteraceae. The record is from RNAcentral.